Molecule: long non-coding RNA, 7520 nt
Organism: Brassica rapa (field mustard)
Lineage: Eukaryota; Viridiplantae; Streptophyta; Magnoliopsida; Brassicales; Brassicaceae
Source: RefSeq, a predicted model, not a curated record
CACAUCGCCGCCGCCGUAGCCAACCCUUCUUCUCCGAUUAGAACCGCCGGAUUGGCUCUUCACUGCUGCGAUCUUCCUCUUCUACAACACGAACUCGCAUCGGUUCUUAUUGACAAGAUCUGGAGCCGUUGUCUCUCCAAUUCAAUCUAUCAGGAGCUUCUUCUCUUGGUAACAUGUCUCCUCCGCCGUUUGUCUCGACCCUGAAAUCUCACAUCAAUGUCGUCGUUCACCGUUUAAAAUCAUUGUAGCCAUUAAAAAGUCACAAACUUCACUGUCUGAAGUCAAUUGUCACUAAUGAAAGGUAAAGUUCUUGGCUUUAACGAGAUAGCUUUAUCUAAAAAUUGUAAAGUUCUUGGAUUGAUUGAAUUAAAUCCACAUAAAUCCUCAAAUACAAAGACUAUUGAUGCUGAAUUGCUUUUAAUUAGUGUUUUUUCUUCUUGUUGUUGAUGUAAUCCUGUGCUGAUCUAUUAAAUUGAACUUUUUUAUCAACAAGAUUAAGGCCAGAAACUCGUCCACAAUUUGUAUAUCCACAAUUCACUGGUUCAAACGAUAUCAUUCAUUCUAUAUAAUCAAUAUCAACCCGUCCACAAUCUGUAUAUCCACAAUUCAUUGGUUCAAACGAUAUCAUUCAUUCUAUAUAAUCAAUAUCAACCCGUCCACAAUUUGUAUAUCUACAAUUUAUUGGUUCAAACGAUAUCAUCGUUCUAUAUAAUCAAUAUCAUAUAUACAAGAUGUUUAUGUGUAUAAGAGAUAUGUACGUUAAAAUUGUUCGUCCACAACUUGCUUUGUCCAUAAAAAUUAAUGUAUCUAUAUCCAUAAAUUUUCAUGUAUCCAUGUCCACAAACAUUUUUUCCUUCUUAUUAAGGGUAGAUUUGUCAAAAAAACACAUAGGUCCCACUAGAAAGUGUGUCAAAUGUGGAAAGUGUCUCUAGGUGUAAAAGAAAGACAAAAAGUGUCCUUUAGUGUAAUCAACUCCUCAUAAAGUGUCUGAGAGAGUAAUUGUUUCUUUUUAUUCGCAUGUGUGCUGCCAAAUUUACACACAGUCACCCAGGAAUAGUAGUCGUACCAAAAUUGCAAAUAAUUAUACUUUGAAUGUUUUUUUAUUUUAAUUAGUAUUACCAAACAUUAAACAAAAGAAAAAUUAUAGUUUUCCAGAUGAUUUAAGUUGAUUAACAUAUUAUCAUGAGUGAUGUAUGCAUUAAUAUGUUGCGAAACUGUAUGUUUUGUAACUUUUCUAUCCUAAGCCGGUUAUUAUUUACAAAGCGACUUUAAAAGUAUAUUCAACAUGAGAUUUGUGAAAAGUCACUAAAACACAUUUGCAAUUCCAUGUUAUUCAAUCAACAAUUCGUAAAAACUAUAUCAAAUCAAUUGUUAUUCAAUUGUAAACAGUAUGUAGUAAGAAAAACUUUGUAUAAAGAUUUUAGAAGACUUGAAACUCAUUUUUAGUUAGAAAUAGUUCUUGUAGAAUAAUAUGUCCAUAGAUGUUAUUUAAAGUAACUUGAAAAUAUAUUAGUUAAUACAUUCUGAAUAUAUGUACAAACACAUAAGAUUUGAGACUUGCUUUGUGUUCUCGUUUUGCUAUACCUCCUCACCCAGCCACCACUCUCAUUCCCACAUCACAUCCUCCUCUCUCUCUUCCUCAUUGGACCACCACUCUCUUAUCCACAUCAACCCCACCUCUUGCUCUCUCCUCCCCACUGAGCCACCACUCUUUAUCCCUUCUGUUGCCACCGACGAGCUCGUAUCUAAGGAUUUCAGUUUGUAAUUUACCUCGCUAAUCCUCAGUCCCUCUUCCACCUCUAUUAGCCUAGUCGUCUUUUUUUUUUGGUAAAAAAUGUAGCCUUGUCAUUGAUUGUGGGAUAUUCAGUUGAGUGUUUUUCUGUUGAGAUAACUAAACUUUUUCACCAUGUUCCUUUUAGAAAGUAAGAAUACUUUAUAGUGAUGGAAACACCAAGGGAAGAAUGUCCCGGAUCAGCUAUGUUGACGUCUUUGAGAAUAGAUUUGACUGACACAAAAAAAAUCUUUACAUCGUCUUGAUAAGGUAUAUGAUGCUACUCUUAAUGGAAGGUAAGGGUGUUCUGUACGUGUGAGUUUUAAGUUGUAGUUGUUCUGAAAUUUUUUUGUAGUCUUCAUGGUUUGAUACGUGGUGAAAACAUGGAGUUUGGUCGGGAUUCUGAUAUUGGUGGACACGUACGUACUCUUCUUCCUGCUAGCACUUUUUCAUUCCAAUUUUGGUUGCUCAAUUCACACUGUUUCAAAUGGUUUGUCAGGUGCAGUAUGUUGUGGAAUUUGCACGGAUAUUGGGCUCAAUGCCUAGAGUCUAUCGUGUCGAUUUGUGUUGACCAGAAAGAUAUCCGCACAAGAAUGAGAUAGCAGCGACUCUGAAACGAAUUAAAUGCUAAAUCCUUUGGACACAGACAGCAUAGAGCAGGAGCAUGGAGAGAAUAGUGGAGCUUAAAUGAAAUUUUAUCUUAGCAUGGAACAAGAUAUAUAAUAUGAUUCUACUUUAUACGAAAGUCUUCUUCAGCAAUGAGUCAAUGAGAAACCGACACACACUGUUUUCAGCAAGAUGAUGCAAAGAUGGGGAAAAGCUUGCAACAGAGAAAUAUCAGUUAUAUAUUACCAUUUCAAAUCACCUAAACAUUCUAAUUUUUUUAGAAAAUAUCUUAUCAAAUCCCCUAUAAAUUUUACUUUUAUUUUUAAAAUUUUAUUUAAACCACUCAAACAACUUCAAAACUCAUCUAAAUCCCACCAAAAUUAAAACACUCCAAAAUCACCUAAAAUACUUAAAUCAAUACACUCCAAAAGAGUAUGUUGUGUAGAUUCUUUGAUAACAAACCAAUAUGAUAUAAUUUUUUAUUUCUUCUACUUAGUACAUGUUUAUAACAUUUAUUGUGACAUUUACAAUGCCAAUCAAUCAACAAACUAAAAUAAGUAUCUUCAAAUUUGGAAAGAUACAACUUCAUUCAGUAAUACUAAUCAUCAUCUAUAUGUUAAUUGAGAAGCAUUACAACAUUUUUUGGUAGCCACGUGGCAUCAAUAGAAUGAUUCUUAGAAUUCUUAGAUAAAUACGUUGACUCAUCUAAAUAUGUUAGCAGCUUCGUCAUGAUGUUUUCUCUUCUCUUCUGUUUUAGUUGCAUAAAUAAUCGUAGGCUCUUUUAUUCAUAUUUUGAGUGAAAUCCCGUUUGAGAGAUGAUUCCCUUUGUUUGGUCAUUCUUAAGACUAUUGAUGUGAUCUUGGGCUGACUUAUGAAGUUUUGGACACUGAAAAUAUUUAGAAAUCAACCCGCGAUGUUAGGUGACAUGUACAGCCCAUUUUAUGAAGUUACAAGCCCAAAAAGAAUCAAAAUCAAGUGGUUUCUUUGCUGUCCAAGAGAAAUGACGAAAAUCAGAAACUAAAUUGCAUGGAAAGCUUCUUUCUCCUGCAUGCAAGGAUUACGAUUGCUUCUUCCAAGAACCUUCUCUCUCCUCCAUGCACUGUUUUGUGAUUCCUAUGUAUUAAUUAUCUAGCUUUCUCAACAAGUUUAGUUUCCUAUAAAUAAGGUGUAAUCUCUAAUGGAAUAAAAUAAGCUUUGAGUGAUUUUUUGGAACCUUGAGAGUGAUUCUCGCUUUUCAUUCAAUGAUGUGUAAUAUCCAUUGAUCUUUUUGAUCUGCCUUGGUGCGUCAUAUCCAAGGGAUCAAACUGAUUCGUCCUGGUGCGUCAUAUCCAGGGAAUCAUCCUCAUUGUCGUCUAGGUGCGUCAUAUCCUAAGGCAUUGAGUUGGAAUACUGAAAGCCUUCUGCAUCCUUCGUGCGACCAUUCACUCCACAUCUCUUGUCUUUGAUGAUUUACGGUUUCAUAGCAGCAAGGCUUAUCCCCCUUACCAACUUAGAGUGUCGACUCCUCGGGAGGUUUUCAUUAUUUGGUAUCAGAGCAACAAUCCGAGUUUGUUUUCUUUUUUCAGAGAGCAAGAUUUGAGGACAAAUAUUUUUGAAGAGGAGGAGUAUGAUUUGAUCUUGGGCGGAUUUAUGAAGUUCUGGACAUGAAAAAUAUUUAGAAAUAAACCCAUGAUGUUAGGUAACAUGUCCAGCCCAUUUUAUGGAGUUACAAGCCCAAGAAGAAUCAAAAUCAAGUGGUUUCUUUGCUGUCCAAGAAAAGUGACGAAAAUCAGAAACUAAAUUGCAUGGAAAGCUUCUUUCUCUUGCAUGCAAAGAUUGCUUCUUCCAAGAACUUUCUCUCUCCUCCAUGCACUGUUUAGUGAUUUCCUAUGUAUUAAUUAUAUAGUUUUCUCAACAAGUUUAGUUUUUUUAUAAAUAAGGUGUAAUCUCUAAUGAAAUAAAAAGCUUUGAGUGAUUAUUUUUGGAAUCUUGAAGGUGAUUCUCGCUUUUCAUUAAAUAAUGUGUAUUAUCCAUUGAUAUGUUCGAUCUGUCUUGGUGCGUCAUAUCCAAGGGAUCAAACCGAUUAAUCUUGGUGCAUCAUAUUCAGGGAAUCAUCCUCAUUCCCGUCUAGGUGCGUUCCUAAGGCAUUUAGUUGGAAUAUCGAAGGCCUUCCGCAUCCUUCGUGUGACCAUUCACUCCACAUCUCUUGUCUUUGAAGCUUUACGGUUUCAUAGCAGCAAGGUUUAUUCCCUUUACCAACUUAGAGUGUCGACUCCUCAGGAGUUUUCAUCAUUUGGUAUCAGGGCAACACUGAGUUUGGUAUUCACUUCUAUUAUCCACCAUUCUCAUCUAUCCAUCUUCUACAAAAAAAAAAGUUUUAUUAUUUAUGUUCUACAAAUCUGCUGGAUCUUUUUGAAGUAUGUGUUCAACUUUUCUUUCUUCGGAGAGUAAGAUUUAAAGACAAAUCUUUUUGAAGAGAAGGAGUAUGAUGUGAUCUUGGACUGAUUUAUGAAGUUAUGGACAUGAAAAAUAUUUAGAAAUCAACCCAUGAUUUUAGCUAACAUGUCCAGCCCAUUUUAUGGAAUUAUAAACCCAAGAAAAAUAAAAAUCAAGUGGUUUCUUUGUUGUCCAAGAAAAGUGACGAAAAUCAGAAACUAAAUUGCAUGGAAAGCUUCUCUCUCCUGCAUGCAAGGAUUGCUUCUUCCAAGAACCUUUUCUCUCCUCCAUCCACUGUUUUGUGAUUCCCUAUGAAUUAAUUAUAUAGCUUUCUCAACAAGUCUAGUUUCCUAUAAAUUAGUUGUAAUCUCUAAUGGAAUAAAAGAAGCUUUUGAGUGAUUAUUUUUGGAACUUUGAGAGUGAUUCUCACUUUUCUUUCAAUGGUGUGUAAUAUCCAUUGAUUUUUUCGAUUUGUCUUGGUGCGUGAUAUCCAGGGAAUCAUUCUCAUUGUCGUCUAGGUGCGUCAUAUCCUAGAGCAUUGAGUUGGAAUAUUGAAGGCCUUCUGCAUCAUUCGUGGGACCAUUCACUCCACAUCCCUUGUCUUUGAAGCUUUACGUUCCAUAGCAGCACGGCUUAUCCCCUUUACCAACUUAGAGUGUCGACUCCUCAGGAGGUUUUGGUCAUUUGGUAUCAAAGCAACACUUUGAGAUUGAGCAAGAUUUGAGGAUAAAUCAUUUUGAAGAGGAGGAGUAUGAUGUGAUCUUGGGCUUAUUUAUAAAGUUCAGGACAUGAAAAAUAUUUAGAAAUCAACCCAUGAUGUUAGUUAACAUGUCCAGCCCAUUUUAUGGAGUUACAAGCCCAAAAAAAAUCAAAAUCAAGUGGUUUCUUUGUUGUUCAAGAAAAGUGACGAAAAUCAGAAACUAAAUUGCAUGGAAAGGUACUCUAUCCUGCAUGCAAGGAUUGCUUCUUCCAAGAACUUUCUCCCUCCUCCAUGCACUGUUUUGUGAUUUCCUAUGUAUUAAUUAUCUAGCUUUCUCAACAAGUUAAGUUUCCUAUAAAUAAGUUGUAAUCUCUAAUGAAAUAAAAUAAGCUUUUGAGUGAUUAUUUUUGGAACUUUGGGAGUGAUUCUCAUUUUUCUUUUAAUAGUGUCUAAUAUCCAUUGAUCUUUUCGAUCCGACUUGGUGCGUCAUAUCCAAAGAAUCAUCCUCAUUGGCGUAUAAGUGCGUCAUAUCCUAGGGCAUUGUGUUGGAAUAUUGAAGGCCUUCUGCAUCCUUCGUGCAAGCAUUCACUCCACAUUCUUUGUCUUUGAAGCUUUACGGUUUCAUAUCAGCAAUGCUUAUCUCCUUUACCAACUUAGAGUGCCGACUACUCGGGAGGUUUUCAUCAUUUGGUAUCAGAGCAACACUCUGAGUUUGGUAUUCACUUCUAUAUCCAUCAUUCUAAUAUAUCCAUCUUCUACAAAAAAAAAAGAGUUUUAUACAUUUAUGUUCAACAAAUCUUCUGGAUCUUUUGGAAGUGUGUGUUCAAGUUUUCUUUCUCCAUAGAGCAAGAUUUUAGGACAAAUGGUUUUGAAGAGGAGGAGUAUGAUGUGAUCGUGGGCUGAUUUAUGAAGUUAUGGACAAGGAAAAUAUUUAGAAAUCAACCCAUGAUGUUAGGUAACAUGUCCAGCCCAUUUUAUGGAGUUACAAGCCCAAGAAAAAUCAAAAUCAAGUGGUUUUUUUGCUGUCCAAGAAAAGUGACGAAAAUCAGAAACUAAAUAGCAUGGAAAGUUCUCUCUCAUGCAUGCAAAGAUUGCUUCUUCCAAGAACCUUCUCUCUCCUUCAUGCAUUGUUUUGUGAUUUCCUAUGUAUUAGUUAUAUAGCUUUCUCAACAAGUUUAGUUUUCUAUAAAUAAGUUGUAAUGUCUAAUGGAAUAAAAUAAGUUUUUGAGUGAUUAUUUUUGGAACUUUGAGAGUGAUUCUCACUUUUCUUUCAAUGGUAUGAAAUAUCCUUUGAUCUUUUUGAUCCGUCUUGGUGUGUCAUAUCUUAUGGCAUUGAGUUGGAAUAUUGAAGGCCUUAUGCAUCCUUCGUGCGACCAUUCACUCCGCAUCCCUUGCCUUUAAAAUUUUACGGUUUCAUAGCAGCAAGGGUUCUCCCCUUUACCAACUUAGAGUGACGACUCCUCAGGAGGUUUUGGUCAUUUGGUAUCAAAGCAACACUUUAAGUUUGGUAUUCACUUCUAUAUCCAUCAUUCUUAUCUAUCCAUCUUCUACAAAGAAAAAAAAGUUUUGUACAUUUAUGUUCAACAAAUCUGUUGGAUCUUUUGGAAGUGUGUGUUCAAGUUUUCUUUCUCUAUAGAGCAAGAUUUGAGGACAAAUGUUUUUUAAGAGGAGGAGUAUGAUGUGAUCUUAGGCUGAUUUAUGAAGUUAUGGACAAGGAAAAUAUUUAGAAAUAAAUCCAUGAUGUUAGGUAACAUGUCCAGCCUAUUUUAUGGAGUUACAAGGCAAAAAAAAAUCAAAAUCAAGUGGUUUCUUUGCUGUCCAAAAAAAGUGACGAAAAUCAGAAACUAAAUUGCAUGAAAAGCUUCUCUCUCAUGUAUGCAAUGAUUGCUUCUUCCAAGAACCAUCUCUCUCCUCCAUGCACUGUUUUGUGAUUUCCUAUGUAUUAAUUAUAUAGCUUUCUCAACAAUUUUAGUUUCCUAUAAAUAAGUUGUAAUCUCUAAUGGAAUAAAAUAAGCUUUUGAGUGAUUA